ACCACCUCUGGCCACGCUUUUUGGUGUUGUAUCUGAUCCUUUCUCUUCCCGCUUGACACGCUCACACGGAGGGGACUGGAGAGGAAUGUCCUACAUUCCAUAUCCUUCCGCAGCGUCGCGGUGCACGACUACGCAGACUAGCGGGGACGCGCGCGGGGAUGCGUUCGGCGAGUACGCGACGUACCGCCGUGUCAUUCGCACGGUGCUGUGCGGCGUCCUCUUCGCCACACCGCUCUGUGCCGCUGCCCCGAUGUCGCCGCUGCUCAAGCUGUCGCAGACGCAGGAGAACAAGAAGUCCAUCAUUCCUCGAAUGAUGAGCGACUUCUUCUAUGUAAACUUCCUCGCAAGCACCGCAGCGUACUGGGUACUGGUCGAGCCGUUUAUCCCGAACCCCAGAGCCAAGGAGGGCUUCGUGCCGUACCUCGGCCCGGUCACCGCCGAGAUCCCUGCCGUGAGCUGCCUUUUUGUCUCGCACCUGUUCUAUCCGGGUCUGUGGGCGAUCGUGAAUGAGCCGACGUGGAAGCUUCGCCGCCGCGAGUUUGUGCGACUAAACGCCAAGUGCUUCGUCGCGUUUGGCCCUGUUCAUGUACCAGCCGCCGUUGGUCUCGGCAUGGCCGUCGGGGUCGUCCUUUACCCGUUCAAGUACAUGAAGCUGCGUGCUCAGCGCCGCGAUGAGCGGCAGCACGCUUCCUAGCCCAGCGCAGAAUACGCAAUUUCCCUUCAUUUUCCCACAAGAUGCAAAACAGGAGAAUGUUGCGAUGAUGAGCCGUUGCGCACAGACCUCUAUGUGUGCCUGUCGGCGUGUGUGUGUGUGUGUGUCGACGUCGGCGGCAAGACUCUGUUGUGUUGCCCUUGCUCACAGGCAAGCGCGAGGAAACGGUUAUGGACUCGCGCAGCGCCUACGACAGAUACAAGGAGAGAGAGGUGGCUCAUCUUCCAAAAAAAAAAAGAACGAAAAGCGAAAAAAAAAUGAAGGCACUCGGGCGAAGCGGAACGAGCUCUUUCAGUCAGCGGUCGAACACGCAACGGAGAGACUGCCUGCCACUCCUUCGAAGCCUUGGGCAAGCACUUGCGGAUUCCUCUCCCGAUGAAUCGACCUUGCACACCGUCGCAGUUGCUCUGUUCUCUCGUUGCAUCGUCGUCUUCUCCCUUUCUUGCUUUGCUUGUUGCCCAUGCUCUCUUCAUGAAUUCCUCAG
This 1196-nucleotide unclassified non-coding RNA is filed under the name Leishmania donovani. RNAcentral describes it as "gene:LdHU3.30.3380(CDS-product:hypothetical_prote in_conserved)". The record is from RNAcentral. Lineage: Eukaryota; Euglenozoa; Kinetoplastea; Trypanosomatida; Trypanosomatidae.